This 497-nucleotide ribosomal RNA is filed under the name uncultured bacterium. RNAcentral's name for it is "partial 16S ribosomal RNA". It matches the Rfam family "Bacterial small subunit ribosomal RNA", at positions 28 to 507 of the family's 1533-position model. The record is from RNAcentral.
GAUGAACGCUGGCGGCGUGCCUAAUACAUGCAAGUCGAGCGAACAGACGAGGAUCUUGCUCCUCUUACGUUAGCGGCGGACGGGUGAUUAACACGUGUAUGACCGACCGAUGAGACUGGCAUAACUUCGGGAAACCUAAUCUAACACCGGAUAAUAUAUUGAACCGCAUGGUUCAUUAGUCAAAACCGUUUUUGCUGUCACUAAUAGAUGGAUCCUCGCCGCAUUAGCUAGUUGGUAAGGUAACGGCUUACCAAGGCGACGAUGCGUAGCUGACCUGAGAGGGUGAUCAGCCACACUGGAACUGAGACACGGUCCAGACUCCUACGGGAGGCAGCAGUAGGGAAUAUUCCGCAAUGGGCGAAAGCCUGACGCAGCAACGCCGCGUGAGUGAUGAAGGUCUUCGGAUCGUAAAACUCUGUUAUUAGGGAAGAACAAAUGUGUAAGUAAAUAUGCACGUCUUGACGGUACCUAAACAGAAAGCAACGGCUAACUACGUG